CUCUUCCUCUUCUGACAUGUCUAAAAGCCAUGAAAAGAAUUUUUGCAAAACCUGGAAUUUAUAAAGGUGUUUUUACUACACUUUUUAGUACAAUUCUACACGUAUUUUCUAAAAAAGUAUUCAUAAAAUCAUAAACAUGUUAACCGGUCAUAUCAUACAUUUGUACAUAAAUGUAGAAUAAUACUUCCAUUACUUCAUAUUUUUUUUCAUUUUAUGUAUUUGACUGUUUGAUUUAUCAAAAGAUGGAUUAAAAUGAAAACCAUUUAGCAAUAUUGCUAGCAUCAGGUAUUUUCUGUUUAAAAAUCUAACCUCAUAAUUUUUUUAUUUAUUUUCUGUAUACCUGUUUUAAUGGACCAAUUUAUAAAAGUUGACUGACCAGUCUUGUAGACUGACUAUGUUUGAGAAUUGAGUUUAUCACAGGAAAUAUGAUUAAAGCAUUAAUGGAGUGGUCCCAGCUAGGGGAAUCAUAUGGGUUACCCAAGGAUUGAAGAGAAAUUAUUAAUUACCUCCCUUUGAUAAUUUCAAAAAGGGGAGAUAAAUUAGUAAUCAAAGGGAUAUACUUUCAGAUGGUCUUUUUAUAUAUUGCAGAUCUGACAGUAUCAAAAAGCAUAAUUUUUUUGAUUAUGUAAAUAGGUAUAUAUAUAUAU
This 647-nucleotide long non-coding RNA is filed under the name Mytilus galloprovincialis (Mediterranean mussel). Lineage: Eukaryota; Metazoa; Mollusca; Bivalvia; Mytilida; Mytilidae. The record is from RNAcentral.